Molecule: ribosomal RNA, 402 nt
Filed under: uncultured bacterium
Lineage: Bacteria
Description: bacterial SSU rRNA
Rfam family: Bacterial small subunit ribosomal RNA
Source: RNAcentral
UGGGGAAUAUUGGACAAUGGGCGCAAGCCUGAUCCAGCCAUGCCGCGUGAGUGAUGAAGGCCUUCGGGUUGUAAAGCUCUUUUGUCCGGGAAGAUAAUGACUGUACCGGAAGAAUAAGCCCCGGCAAACUUCGUGCCAGCAGCCGCGGUAAUACGAAGGGGGCUAGCGUUGUUCGGAUUUACUGGGCGUAAAGCGCACGUAGGCGGCUUGUUAAGUCAGAGGUGAAAUCCCAGGGCUCAACCCUGGAACUGCCUUUGAUACUGGCAGGCUCGAGUAUGGUAGAGGUUGGUGGAACUGCGAGUGUAGAGGUGAAAUUCGUAGAUAUUCGCAAGAACACCAGUGGCGAAGGCGGCCAACUGGACCAUUACUGACGCUGAGGUGCGAAAGCGUGGGGAGCAAACA